RNAcentral lists this ribosomal RNA (859 nucleotides) under uncultured bacterium. RNAcentral describes it as "bacterial SSU rRNA". It matches the Rfam family "Bacterial small subunit ribosomal RNA", at positions 26 to 896 of the family's 1533-position model. The record is from RNAcentral.
AGAGUGAACGCUGGCGGCGUGCCUAACACAUGCAAGUCGAACGAGAACGGGUUAUAGCUUGCUAUAACUGUCAGCUAAGUGGCGCACGGGUGAGUAAUAUAUAGUUAAUCUGCCCCAAAGAAGAGAAUAAUUGUUGGAAACGACUUGUAAUGCUCUAUAUGCCUUUAUCACAUAAGUGAGCAAGGGAAACAUUUAUGGCUUUGGGAUGAGACUGUACGGUAUCAGCUAGUUGGUGAGGUAAUGGCUCACCAAGGCUAUGACAUCUAACUGGUUUGAGAGGAUGAUCAGUCACACUGGAACUGAGACACGGUCCAGACUCCUACGGGAGGCAGCAGUGGGGAAUAUUGCACAAUGGACGAAAGUCUGAUGCAGCAACGCCGCGUGGAGGAUGACACAUUUCGGUGCGUAAACUCCUUUUAUAUGAGAAGAUAAUGACGGUAUCAUAUGAAUAAGCACCGGCUAACUCCGUGCCAGCAGCCGCGGUAAUACGGGGGGUGCAAGCGUUACUCGGAAUCACUGGGCGUAAAGAGCAUGUAGGCUGGUUUGUAAGUUGGAAGUGAAAUCCUAUGGCUUAACCAUAGAACUGCUUCCAAAACUGCAGACCUAGAAUAUGGGAGAGGUAGAUGGAAUUUCUGGUGUAGGGGUAAAAUCCGUAGAGAUCAGAAGGAAUACCGAUUGCGAAGGCGAUCUACUGGAACAUUAUUGACGCUGAGAUGCGAAAGCGUGGGGAGCAAACAGGAUUAGAUACCCUGGUAGUCCACGCCCUAAACGAUGCACACUAGUUGUUGCCUUGCUCGACAAGGCAGUAAUGCAGUUAACACAGUAAGUGUGCCGCCUGGGGAGUACGGUCGCAAGAUUA